UACGUAGGGUGCGAGCGUUAAUCGGAAUUACUGGGCGUAAAGCGUGCGCAGGCGGUCCGUUGUGUCCGAUGUGAAAGCCCCGGGCUUAACCUGGGAAUGGCAUGGGAAACUGGCGGGCUGGAGUGUGGCAGAGGGGGGUGGAAUUCCGCGUGUAGCAGUGAAAUGCGUAGAGAUGCGGAGGAACACCGAUGGCGAAGGCAGCCCCCUGGGCCAACACUGACGCUCAGGCACGAAAGCGUGGGGAUCAAACAGGAUUAGAAACCCCCGUAGUCC
This 273-nucleotide ribosomal RNA is filed under the name uncultured bacterium. RNAcentral's name for it is "partial 16S ribosomal RNA". It matches the Rfam family "Bacterial small subunit ribosomal RNA", at positions 524 to 796 of the family's 1533-position model. The record is from RNAcentral.